Molecule: unclassified non-coding RNA, 271 nt
Filed under: fungal sp.
Lineage: Eukaryota; Fungi
Also listed under: 1 other name
Description: partial internal transcribed spacer region
Rfam family: Eukaryotic small subunit ribosomal RNA (bases 1-46)
Source: RNAcentral
AAGUCGUAACAAGGUUUCCGUAGGUGAACCUGCGGAAGGAUCAUUAUCGAGUUUUGAAAGGGGUUGUAGCUGGCCUUCCGAGGCAUGUGCACGCCCCGCUCAAUCCACUCUACACCUGUGCACUUACUGUGGGUUUCGGAGGUGAAGCGCGCGCUUUCGCUCGCGGAUCUAACGGGCCCGCGUUUUACUACAAACACUUUAAAGUAAACGAACGUGUAUCACGAUGUAACGCAUCUAUAUACAACUUUCAGCAACGGAUCUCUUGGCUCUC